GUAGGACGUCUCCUCUCCCAGAGCACCCGAGUUCCAGCCCUGCUGCUAUUAAUACCAUGGGUAAACUCAGACGCUUCUCCUUCCUCCUCCCCUUGCCUUUUUUUGUCCAAAGACUGGAAAAGAGCACGUCCGCAUCCCCCCCCCAGGGAGGUUCUGCCGCUCUAAGCAACAAGGGCCGCCAGACUGGCCCAGUAACCAGGUAUCCAAGGUCAGGCUGCCCUAAACCGCACAGCUCCGGGCACUCAUGCUCCCCCAUCUGACCACGCAGAUGCCUGGCCUUUGGGCAAGAAACCAUGCUCUGAUUCUCGCUAUUCUGAAUGCGCUUUGCAAAACCUCCCAGCAGCUGCAUCGAGCUAUUCAUUAGCUGACAGCGGAGACCUUCAGGCAGAACCAGACGGACGGAUGGUUUUGGGGGUUUCUCACCUCUCAGUUUCCAUUCGCUAGGAGGGAAAACCGGGGGCUUAGACCGCAGGGGUAGUGGCCUCAGAGAUGGGGUUUCACCUUCUUGGCCAGGCUGGUAUCAAACUCUUGACCUCAUGAUACACCCGCCUCAGCCUCUCAAAGUGCUGGGAGUACAGGCGUGAGCCACCACACCCAGCCUCAAAGAAUUUUUUUAAGCCUUAAGAAAUAACACGGCUGGGCGUGGUGGCUCAUGCCUGUAAUCCCAGCACUUUGGGAGGCUGAGGCAGACAGAUCACAAGGUCAGGAGUUCAAGACCGGCCUGGCCAGUAUGGUCAAACCCCGUCUCUAUUAAAAAUAAAAAAAUUAGCUGGGCGUGGUGGCUGGUGCCUAUAGUCCCAGCUACUCGGGAGGCUGAAGCAGGAGAAUCACUUGAACCCGGGAGGCGGAGGUUGCAGUGAGCCGAGAUUAUGCCACUGCACUCCAGCCUGGGUGACAAAGCAAGACUUUGUUUCAAAAAAAAAAGAGAGAGAGAGAAAAACAACACAACACUAGGUGUCCGGUGUGCAAAAUUUGGAAAAUUAUGAAAAAUAAAAACAAAAAGAAGACCCCAUAAGCCAACUGUGUAGAGGUAACCUCUCUCACCUUCUUGUCAGACAUCCUUCUGAUCGCCUUCUCCUCCACAUUGAAAUGUAUUUUUAAAAAGUUUUUUUUGAGACAGGAUCUUGCUCUAUUGCCCAAGCUAGAAUGCACUGGUAUAAACGCGAGUCACUGUAGCCUCGACCUCCUAGACUCCAGCAAUCCUCCUCCCUCAGCCUCCUGAGUAGCUGAGACUACAGGUACGUGCCAUCACACCUGGCUAAUUUUGAAACUUUUAUGUAGAGAUGGGAUCUCGCUAUGUUGCUCAAGCUGGUCUCAAACUCCUGGGCUCAAACAACCCUCCCAGCUCGGCCUCCCAAAAUGUUGAGAUCACAGGUAUGAGCCACCGUGCCCAGCCUAAAUACAUAUUUUAAGGGAUUCACGUCACAUACUGCGUUCUGCAGGCGGCCCGUGACUUCACACUCAUCAAUAGCCAAAAGUCCGUCUCCACACCCUGAUGGUCUGCGCUGGACUCCGUGUCAUGGAUCUGUCACCUGCUUUGGGAUAUUUUGGUUUCUCCUGGUGUCUCACUAGCAUAUAUCACUGUGAUAGACGAUCUUGUUUCCACAGAUCUUUGUACAGGUAUCUGGUCCCCCUCACCUUGGGAUAAAUUCCUACAAAUAGAUUGUGACUCAGAAAGCUGCACUUCUUCACACGUGUUGCCGCAGGGAUUUUCCAGGUUAUUUCUGUUGGGGAUGGAGAACCCAGAACCUGAGAAAAGAUGAAUGUUCUUUUUUUUUUUUUUUUUUUUUUCUUGAGACGGAGUCUCGCUCUGUCACUCAGGCUGGAGUGCAGUGGCGUGAUCUCGGCUCACUGCAAGCUCCACCUCCCGGGUUCACACCAUUCUCCUGCCUCAGCCUCCUAAGUAGCUGGGACUACAGGCGCCUGCCAUCAUGCCUAGCUAAUUUUUGUGUUUUUAGUAGAGAUGGGGUUUCACCAUGUUGGCCAGGAUGGUCUCGAUCUCCUGACCUCGUGAUCCGCCUGCCACGGCCUCCCAAAGUGCUGGGAUUACAGGCAUGAGCCACCGCACCCGGCCUUUUUUUUUUUUUGAGACGGAGUCUCACUCUGUUGCCCAGAGCUGGAGUACAAGUGGCGCGAUCUCGGCUCACUGCAAACUCCACUUCCUGGGUUCAAGCGAUUCUCCUGCCUCAGCCACCCAAGUAGCUGCGAUUACAGGUGCCCGUCACCUCGCCCGGCUAAUUUUUGUAUUUUUAGGAAGGACAGGGCUUCACCCUGUUGGCCAGGCUGGUCUCGAACUCCUGACUUCAAGUGAUCCACCCGCCUUGGCCUCCCAAAUUGCUGGGAUUACAGGCGUGAGCCACCGAGCCUGGCCUGAAUGUUCUGUCCUAAAGCUGCUUAUUACAAAGAAGUUGUGGAAUAUCCUCCCCCCAACCCCCACGCCCCUCCCUGAAUAGCCACCGGAAAGGAAAUUAUGCAUCGAGGCCGGGCGCGGCGGCUCAACCUGUAAUCCCAGCACUUUGGGAGGCCGAGGCGGGCGGAUCACGAGGUCAGAAGAUCAAGACCAUCCUGGCUAACACAGUGAAACUCCAUCUUUACUAAAGAUACAAAAAAUUAGCCGGGCGUGGUGGCGGGCGCCUGUAGUCCCAGCUACUCAGGAGGCUGAGGCAGGAGAAUGGCGUGAACCUGGGAGGCGGAGCUUGCAGUGAGCUGAGAUCGCGCCACUGCACUCCAGCCUGGGCGACAGAGACUCCGUCUCAAAAAAAAAAAAAAAAAAAGCAAUUAUGUGUCAAGCCCAGAGUGGCAGUUCCUCCUCUGUCUGUUGGGUCAGCCCGGGAGACUGGAAGCCCAGAUGAGUAGGGCCCCUCCUGGGUGCCCCAAGUUGGGUGGCGCCAUGCCCAGUGCCAGGACCCCCGAAACACAGAGGCAGCCUGCUGAUGACCUGGCCCCUGCCAGCCAAGGCUUCACUCAGCCAACGCCCUGUCCACACUGCACCCGGGACACGCUGGUCUCCCACCGGCAGACUGCACACCCCUUUCUGGUUGAAGCUACCUCGUCAGAGUCUAUUCUAGAAAGAGGCCGUGAUAUGGGGACCCCUGUCCUUUCAGUGAUGAACAAAGGGGGCCGCCCCCAACUUUGACCCCAUCACCAUCCUCUGACCCAGGCCGACUUGGGGUUAAAAGAGAACUGUGUGGCCUGGGGAAGCUGCUUCACCUUGCCCUGCCUCAGUUUCCCCAGGGUGGGUUACAUAGCGGCUCCCAAAAAUGUGCCUACUUGCACCAUCAGAAUGGG
This 3288-nucleotide long non-coding RNA is filed under the name Homo sapiens (human). RNAcentral describes it as "non-protein coding lnc-GNA12-3:1". Lineage: Eukaryota; Metazoa; Chordata; Mammalia; Primates; Hominidae. The record is from RNAcentral.